GACGAACGCUGGCGGCGUGCUUAACACAUGCAAGUCGAACGGAAAGGCCCUGCUUUUGUGGGGUGCUCGAGUGGCGAACGGGUGAGUAACACGUGAGUAACCUGCCCUUGACUUUGGGAUAACUUCAGGAAACUGGGGCUAAUACCGGAUAGGAGCUCCUGCUGCAUGGUGGGGGUUGGAAAGUUUCGGCGGUUGGGGAUGGACUCGCGGCUUAUCAGCUUGUUGGUGGGGUAGUGGCUUACCAAGGCUUUGACGGGUAGCCGGCCUGAGAGGGUGACCGGCCAAAUUGGGACUGAGAUACGGCACAGACUCCUACGGGAGGGAGCAGUGGGGAAUAUUGUACAAGGGGCGGAAGCCUGAUGCAGCAACGCCGCGUGGGGGAUGACGGCCUUGGGGUUGUAAACCGAUUUCGCCUGAGACGAAGCGUGAGUGACGGUAAUGGGUAAAGAAGCACCGGCUAACUACGUG
Molecule: ribosomal RNA, 468 nt
Filed under: uncultured bacterium
Lineage: Bacteria
Description: partial 16S ribosomal RNA
Rfam family: Bacterial small subunit ribosomal RNA
Source: RNAcentral